UACAGAGGUCCCGAGCGUUGUUCGGAUUCAUUGGGCGUAAGGGGUGCGUAGGUGGCGCUGUAAGUGGGGUGUGAAAUCCCGGGGCUUAACCCCGGGACUGCAUUCCAUACUGCGGUGCUUGAGGACUGGAGAGGAGACUGGAAUUUACGGUGUAGCAGUGAAAUGCGUAGAGAUCGUAAGGAAGACCAGUGGCGAAGGCGGGUCUCUGGACAGUUCCUGACACUGAGGCACGAAGGCCAGGGGAGCAAACGGG
Molecule: ribosomal RNA, 253 nt
Filed under: uncultured bacterium
Lineage: Bacteria
Description: partial 16S ribosomal RNA
Rfam family: Bacterial small subunit ribosomal RNA
Source: RNAcentral